GAUACUUAGCCUACUAAAGUAUCCGCCUGAGAACUACGAGCACAAACGCUUAAAACUCUAAGGACUUGGCGGUGCCCCAAACCCACCUAGAGGAGCCUGUUCUAUAAUCGAUAACCCACGAUAAACCCAACCGCCUUUUGCUAGAGCAGCCUACAUACCGCCGUCGCCAGCUCACCUUCCCUGAGAGUACAGCAGUGAGCACAAUAGCCCUCAACAUCGCUAAUAAGACAGGUCAAGGUAUAGCCUAUAGGGCGGAAGAAAUGGGCUACAUUUUCUAAAAUAGAAAACUUUACGAAAAGGGGCAUGAAACUGCCCCCAGAAGGCGGAUUUAGCAGUAAAGCGGAAUAAUAAAUGCCCUCUUUAAGCUGGCCCUGGGG
RNAcentral lists this ribosomal RNA (377 nucleotides) under Procellaria westlandica. RNAcentral's name for it is "12S mitochondrial ribosomal RNA". It matches the Rfam family "Bacterial small subunit ribosomal RNA", at positions 847 to 1379 of the family's 1533-position model. Lineage: Eukaryota; Metazoa; Chordata; Aves; Procellariiformes; Procellariidae. The record is from RNAcentral.